UAGUCCACGCUGUAAACGAUGAUCACUAGCCGUUGGGAGAUUUAAUCUUCAAGUGGCGCAGCUAACGCGAUAAGUGAUCCGCCUGGGGAGUACGGCCGCAAGGUUAAAACUCAAAUGAAUUGACGGGGGCCCGCACAAGCGGUGGAGCAUGUGGUUUAAUUCGAAGCAACGCGAAGAACCUUACCUGGCCUUGACAUCCAGAGAACUUUCCAGAGAUGGAUUGGUGCCUUCGGGAACUCUGAGACAGGUGCUGCAUGGCUGUCGUCAGCUCGUGUUGUGAAAUGUUGGGUUAAGUCCCGCAACGAGCGCAACCCUUGUCUUUAGUUGCCAUCAUUUAGUUGGGCACUCUAGAGAAACUGCCGGUGACAAACCGGAGGAAGGUAAGGAUGACGUCAAGUCAGCAUGCCCCUUACGCUCUGGGCUACACACGUGCUACAAUGGUCGUGACAAAGAGUUGCUAGUCUGCGAAGGCAAGCCAAAUCUCAUAAACGCGG
Molecule: ribosomal RNA, 494 nt
Filed under: uncultured bacterium
Lineage: Bacteria
Description: bacterial SSU rRNA
Rfam family: Bacterial small subunit ribosomal RNA
Source: RNAcentral